Molecule: small nuclear RNA, 104 nt
Filed under: Nannospalax galili (Upper Galilee mountains blind mole rat)
Lineage: Eukaryota; Metazoa; Chordata; Mammalia; Rodentia; Spalacidae
Source: RNAcentral
UUGCCCGCUUUGGCAGCACACAGACUAAAACUGGAACGAUACAGAGAUUAGCAUGGCCCCUGCACAAAGAUGACAUGCAAAUUCGUGGAGCGUUCUAUAAUUUU